UUUGUUUACAUGCUGAGCAGCUCCCUCCGCAGAGAAGUGCAGUGCAAGCGUCAUGGAGGUUACAAAAGACAAACAAACUUUCAUGUGUGAGAUAUGUGACAAACUAUUGUCUUCCUCUGCAUCCAGAAAACGACAUCUGAAAUGCGUCCAUGGGUUAAAGUUGCCCCCUGUGAUAUCAAAUUCAGAUAACAACAAAACAUGUGAUCUCUGUAACAAAACAUUUUCAUCUAAAUUUGCCAAGGAAAGACACACCAGUGAAGUCCAUGACUCAAUGAGAACAGAGUGCAGCAAACCUACAGCUGUUCAGUGCAAGGAAUGUGGAGUAAACUUUUCCAGGUUAAGCAUCUACAGGCAACAUCUCCAACAGUUUCAUAACAUUGAAACUACUACAGCCCAGUAUGAGUUUGCUUCAGAAGAAGAGUUUAUGGCAUGGAAAGAUGCACUGGAAAUGGAGGUUGGAGUAAAUUAUACGUUUCAUACGGGUAACAAGAAAUCAGUUGACAGCACCAAAACCAUAUACUAUUGCCGAAGAUCAGGUGUGCAGAAAUCAUCAAAGAGUACCCACAAGCGUGCUGAAAAAAGCCAAGGUACCAGUAAAAUGGGAUACUACUGCACAUCAUCUAUUGAGGCAGUGAGGCAGAAUGGAUGUGUCCAGGUCACCUACUACGUGGAGCAUCAUGAGCAUGAUAUAAACUUCCACAGCCUUGUCCACAUGACUCUUCCUGCCAGCGUGAAGGAUAAAAUUGCAGGUACAGUAAGAAGUGUACAUCUUUGUUCCUGGAAGUUGCAGUGGUAUAAAUUCACUUAUCCGUUAUCCCAAUUGCAUAAUAUUACAGCAUAUACAAGGGCUUUCACUGUACAUGAAUAAUUUAACUUACCAUUACUUAAAUAAUUUGCCCCUUUUGUUCUAGCUGCAUCUAUGUUUGGUGCAUCUUCACUGCGUAAGUUUGAAGUUCUUUUUUUAUGCUUGACAAACUGUAAUGGUGAUAG
This is a long non-coding RNA of Eriocheir sinensis (Chinese mitten crab), 990 nucleotides long. RefSeq lists it as uncharacterized. The transcript is spliced from 3 exons. The record is from RefSeq and is a predicted model, not a curated record. Lineage: Eukaryota; Metazoa; Arthropoda; Malacostraca; Decapoda; Varunidae.